AGAGAUCAGUGUGAGAGAGACACAGCCUUUCGUCGCCUCUGGGGGGCGCCCCAGUUGGGCGGGGAAUGGAGCCUGCCCCUGAGGUCUGGAGUCAAUGUGGACACUCAUUCCUCUUAAAACGUUCAAGAGGAAUUAAGGCUGAAAAUUUGUCUGACGUUGCUUAGUAACCUGAGUACACACCAAAUUAACCUCCAUCUUUAGCUCAUGCUCUUGAGAGAGGGCAGACUUUUAACCAAGAGGAUCACGACUGAAGUGGUUUGCCAACAUUAUGACCACUGGAGCUAAAAAAGAGUGUCCCGUCUGCCUUGGCUUGGCUUAAGGCCACCAGAGGCACAGCUGGAGUUGUGCUCACCACAGCAGCCAGGUUUUUGGUGUUGACAGUGGUGUUGGUGGUGGGGGUGUGUUUUGCUUGUAUGGACCACAAGAACUUAUAUAAUCUCCAUUGCUUUGUAUUGGGAUUUGGGGCAUGAUUCCUCAUGAACAGCCUAGAGCACCCCAGUGACAAGCAUCUGCAACUCAGGGAAGAUGUCACCAGGGAGCCUGUUUAGCUUGUUAGGGUUUAAAUUCUAGCAAUCUUUUGCCCUGUAUUAUUUUUUUUAAUUAAAUUUAUUGAUGUAACACUGGUUAAUAA
This is a non-coding RNA of Miniopterus natalensis, 631 nucleotides long. The record is from RefSeq and is a predicted model, not a curated record. NCBI's taxonomy places the organism in Eukaryota, Metazoa, Chordata, Mammalia, Chiroptera, Miniopteridae.